AACCUUUAGCUAAACAAAUAUUAAAGGCAACGCCUGCCCAGUGAAUAAUUAAACGGCCGCGGUAUCCUAACCGUGCAAAGGUAGCGCAAUCACUUGUCUACUAACUAUAGACCUGUAUGAAAGGCAAAAUGAGGGUCCGACUGUCUCUUAUAAUAAAUCAAUUAAACUGAUCUACUAGUAAAAAAGCUAGAAUACCCACAUAAGACCAGAAGACCCUGUGAAGCUUAAACUAAACUAUUAAACCAAAUAAUAGCUACUUUCGGUUGGGGCGACCUUGGAAAAAAAAAGAACUUCCAACAAUGAUCUCAUUCACAUCAAACUUAGGCCUACAAGCCAACUAAAGACCCAGUAAAACUGAUAAACGAACUAAGUUACUCCAGGGAUAACAGCGCAAUCUUCUUUAAGAGCCCAUAUCAAAAAGAAGGUUUACGACCUCGAUGUUGGAUCAGGACAUCCUAACGGUGCAGCCGCUAUUAAGGGUUCGUUUGUUCAACGAUUAACAGUCCU
RNAcentral lists this ribosomal RNA (507 nucleotides) under Lycodon effraenis. RNAcentral describes it as "partial 16S ribosomal RNA". It matches the Rfam family "Bacterial large subunit ribosomal RNA", at positions 1816 to 2597 of the family's 2925-position model. The record is from RNAcentral. Lineage: Eukaryota; Metazoa; Chordata; Lepidosauria; Squamata; Colubridae.